UACGUAGGUGGCAAGCGUUGUCCGGAUUUAUUGGGUUUAAAGGGUGCGUAGGCGGUUCCAUAAGUCAGUGGUGAAAUACAAUAGCUUAACUAUUGAGGUGCCAUUGAUACUGCGGAACUUGAGUACAGACGAGGUAGGCGGAAUUGACGGUGUAGCGGUGAAAUGCUUAGAUAUCGUCAAGAACACCGAUAGCGAAGGCAGCUUACCAGACUGUAACUGACGCUGAGGCACGAAAGUGUGGGGAUCAAACAGG
This 253-nucleotide ribosomal RNA is filed under the name uncultured bacterium. Its description in RNAcentral is "partial 16S ribosomal RNA". It matches the Rfam family "Bacterial small subunit ribosomal RNA", at positions 524 to 776 of the family's 1533-position model. The record is from RNAcentral.